UUAAAUUGAGAGUUUGAUCCUGGCUCAGGAUGAACGCUGGCGGCGUGCCUAAUACAUGCAAGUCGAACGAAACUUCUUUAUCACCGAGUGCUUGCACUCACCGAUAAAGAGUUGAGUGGCGAACGGGUGAGUAACACGUGGGCAACCUGCCCAAAAGAGGGGGAUAACACUUGGAAACAGGUGCUAAUACCGCAUAACCAUAGUUACCGCAUGGUAACUAUGUAAAAGGUGGCUAUACUACCGCUUUUGGAUGGGCCCGCGGCGCAUUAGCUAGUUGGUAGGGUAAAGGCUUACCAAGGCAAUGAUGCGUAGCCGAAUUGAGAGGUUGAUCGGCCACAUUGGGACUGAGACACGGCCCAAACUCCUACGGGAGGCAGCAGUAGGGAAUCUUCCACAAUGGGCGAAAGCCUGAUGGAGCAACGCCGCGUGGGUGAAGAAGGUCUUCGGAUCGUAAAACCCUGUUGUUAGAGAAGAAAGUGCGUGAGAGUAACUGUUCACGUUUCGACGGUAUCUAACCAGAAAGCCACGGCUAACUACG
This 538-nucleotide ribosomal RNA is filed under the name Ligilactobacillus murinus. RNAcentral describes it as "bacterial SSU rRNA". It matches the Rfam family "Bacterial small subunit ribosomal RNA", at positions 1 to 505 of the family's 1533-position model. Lineage: Bacteria; Bacillati; Bacillota; Bacilli; Lactobacillales; Lactobacillaceae. The record is from RNAcentral.